UUUCUUUCUCAUGAUGCAUGAACUUUAUUAUAACUUAGAAAUUAUAAAAAUGGAGAAAAUAGAGCGAAGGAAUCCGAAUGUUGAAGACUACAAGAGCCUUUAAGAGGAAUAUUCAUAAACCCAUAUCAAUAAGGAACACAAAUGAAAGUAGUAAAGGAACAAAAAAGCAAAAGAAAAGAAUCAAAAUGUGUGAUGAAAUGGAGAAAAGAAUCAAAAUCCGGUGGAAUUGAUGAGAUAUUGAGGAAGAAUAUGGCAAAAAUCGGUGGCAGUGAAAGUAUGAGAUGCUCUUAAAGUCUUUGUCUCAUAAAUUCAUCUCUGCCUUUGAAACAAAAAUUUCUUGGUGUCCCAAGGAGGUCGGA
Molecule: unclassified non-coding RNA, 359 nt
Filed under: Hevea brasiliensis (rubber tree)
Lineage: Eukaryota; Viridiplantae; Streptophyta; Magnoliopsida; Malpighiales; Euphorbiaceae
Source: RNAcentral